AAUAAGUGCAGCCAUGAGUUUCCGCGUCCAAUUUUGAUCGUUUGUCUUAUUCGAAAUUCUUUUAUAAUUAGCAUUUUUGUUGUUAUAAGAUGAAAAAACAUGAAUAGUACUUUAUUUGUGACUUAUGUUUUUAAUUUUUUUCAAAAAAAAUUUAAAUAAGAUGAAUGGUCAAAGUUGGGUGUGGAAAAUUAUGGCUGCACUUAUU
Oryza nivara is the source of this 205-nucleotide non-coding RNA. Lineage: Eukaryota; Viridiplantae; Streptophyta; Magnoliopsida; Poales; Poaceae. The record is from Rfam.